Long non-coding RNA from Rosa chinensis, 487 nucleotides. RefSeq lists it as uncharacterized. The transcript has 4 exons. The record is from RefSeq and is a predicted model, not a curated record. NCBI's taxonomy places the organism in Eukaryota, Viridiplantae, Streptophyta, Magnoliopsida, Rosales, Rosaceae.
GAAGGCAUGAAAGGAAGAGAUACAUGCCUUCUCUUCUGCACCACUAGCUUUUUUGUUGAGAAGAUUGCUAGUUGAUGGAAAUUUGAAAGGUAUAACUCAUGUCAUUGUGGAUGAGAUUCACGAACGCAGAAUGAAUGAAGGACCUCCUUCCUUCGGCUAGAACUGAGGUUGAUUCUGAUGAGUGCAACCCUAGAUUCUGAGCUUUUCUGGCAGGGCUCAGAUAAUUCAUGUUCCAGAUGUUUUGGAAAGUACGGGUUGCAGGUUAACUCCAUACAAUCAGAUUGAUGAAAGUGCAAGGCAUAGUGCUUAAGAUGCAUUUGCUUGUAUGAGAUUAACAUUUUGGCAUAGUGCUUUUUGUAAUCACAAGGCAAAGUAGUAAUUGAAGUGAUUGUAAAAAGCUGGUGGUGGUGGGACUUUGAGUUUGGAAUUUGGAGUGCUCAGCCAAUUGACAAAUGAUCCUACAGAAGUGUUAUGUUCUAUAUUGGGC